CGGGUUGCCAUACUUUAGAAAAUUAACAAAAUAUGUAUGUGAUAUGUCUUGUACAAUUACUUCUUUUAUAUUAAAUAUAUCUCAAAAAUACAUAUGCAUCUGUAUAGAAUAAACAUCAAAUAUCAAAAAUUAACUUACAUAUUGAUCUGCCAGCAUAGGAUGACCAAGUUCUAUGAAGAUUUAAAACAUUUGUCACCUUGUUGUGGUACACAACAUCUAUGAGUAUACACAGGAAACAGGAAAUAAACUCUUUAAAGUGAAAGUGAAAGUACUCUUUAAAAUGAAACUACAGGUAAUUAUAAAAAUAAAUGUAAAGGUAAAUUUA
This 325-nucleotide long non-coding RNA is filed under the name Mytilus galloprovincialis (Mediterranean mussel). Lineage: Eukaryota; Metazoa; Mollusca; Bivalvia; Mytilida; Mytilidae. The record is from RNAcentral.